UACGAGUGGCCCAAGCGUUAAUCGGAAUCACUGGGCUUAAAGGGUGCGUAGGCGGCUCUGCAAGCACUCCGUGAAAUCCCCCGGCUCAACCGGGGAACUGCGGGGUGGACUGCAGGGCUUGAGGCAUGGAGAGGUCGUCGGAACGCUCGGUGGAGCGGUGAAAUGCGUUGAUAUCGAGCGGAACGCCGAAGGUGAAGACAGGCGACUGGUCAUGUCCUGACGCUGAGGCACGAAAGCGUGGGGAGCAAACGGG
This 253-nucleotide ribosomal RNA is filed under the name uncultured bacterium. Its description in RNAcentral is "partial 16S ribosomal RNA". It matches the Rfam family "Bacterial small subunit ribosomal RNA", at positions 524 to 776 of the family's 1533-position model. The record is from RNAcentral.